RNAcentral lists this ribosomal RNA (751 nucleotides) under uncultured bacterium. RNAcentral's name for it is "bacterial SSU rRNA". It matches the Rfam family "Bacterial small subunit ribosomal RNA", at positions 94 to 878 of the family's 1533-position model. The record is from RNAcentral.
AGUGGCGGACGGGUGAGGAACGCGUAGGGAUGUGUCCAUGGGUGGGGGAUAACGUUGGGAAACUGACGCUAAUACCGCAUGUGAUCUGAGGAUCAAAGCCGCGAGGCGCCUGUGGAGCAACCUGCGUCCGAUUAGGUAGUUGGUGGGGUAAUGGCCUACCAAGCCUCCGAUCGGUAGCUGGUCUGAGAGGACGACCAGCCACACUGGGACUGAGACACGGCCCAGACUCCUACGGGAGGCAGCAGUGGGGAAUAUUGGACAAUGGGCGCAAGCCUGAUCCAGCAAUGCCGCGUGGAUGAAGAAGGUCUUCGGAUUGUAAAGUCCUUUCGACGGGGACGAUGAUGACGGUACCCGUAGAAGAAGCCCCGGCUAACUUCGUGCCAGCAGCCGCGGUAAUACGAAGGGGGCUAGCGUUACUCGGAAUUACUGGGCGUAAAGGGCGCGUAGGCGGCAUGAUAAGUCAGGCGUGAAAUUCCCGGGCUCAACCUGGGGACUGCGCUUGAGACUGUUGAGCUAGAGGAUGGAAGAGGGUCGUGGAAUUCCCAGUGUAGAGGUGAAAUUCGUAGAUAUUGGGAAGAACACCGGUGGCGAAGGCGGCGACCUGGUCCAUUACUGACGCUGAGGCGCGACAGCGUGGGGAGCAAACAGGAUUAGAUACCCUGGUAGUCCACGCCGUAAACGAUGUGCGCUGAAUGUUGGGGUUCUUAGAAUCUCAGUGUUGUAGCUAACGCGGUAAGCGCACCGCCUGGGG